UUCGGUAUCCUGUGUUGCUUACCUAUCGAAAGGAAUCCGAUGGUUUCGUUGGUCCCUUUCCGCCCCAUGCCCUCGCGGGUUGUGGGGUGGACGUCAGGCAAGCCUCGUGUUCCCGGCACGCUUCGCCCAGUUGCGUGGCUGCCUCGGCCCACGGGGCGCAUUGCCCGUGCUCUCGGAUGCGGAACGUUACGCGCGGGCGUGGGGUCUUUUGGCUCCGUCGGCCCGAGCAACGCAUUUGUCCAUCGACACGAACGACCGUCGCGUCCGUCUUGAGCCCGCGGCCGUACGGCCCGUCGGGUCUCAUGCGGGCGUCGGCGUCGCGAAGGAAUGCUACCUGGUUGAUCCUGCCAGUAGUCAUAUGCUUGUCUC
RNAcentral lists this unclassified non-coding RNA (369 nucleotides) under Bursera microphylla. RNAcentral's name for it is "partial external transcribed spacer". The record is from RNAcentral. Lineage: Eukaryota; Viridiplantae; Streptophyta; Magnoliopsida; Sapindales; Burseraceae.